Molecule: long non-coding RNA, 508 nt
Filed under: Gallus gallus (chicken)
Lineage: Eukaryota; Metazoa; Chordata; Aves; Galliformes; Phasianidae
Source: RNAcentral
AAGCACGUACUUAAAGCUAAAUCUGAAGCAAAUUUGGGGAAAUGUCACCAACCAAUGAAGCACUAAAUGUCUUUAAGGAAGUGCGUAGGAAAUUAAACUGUAAGGGAUAUGCAUGAGCCAAAGUAAAUAGUGGCAGCAGGAGAUGAAGCAUUUACACACAUCAACUCCAUUGUAUAACUGCAAGAGUCCGACCAAAAAAAAGACAUCAAAAACAAUCAAACCUGCUUGGCUGUACAGGAAAAUGGAAGAUGAAGCACAAAUAAUCUGGACCCUGAAAUAGACCACUUUAUAGGGCCUCCAGUUGCAGCCACUGUCUUUGUGUCUCUUUUGUAAUAACAAGCUCUUGUAAAAUGAAAUAUUUAAAAUAAAAUGUGCUUACAAAGAGACAAAGCACAAAACCGUGCUGCAGCCACCACAUACAUUUCUUUCCUUAAUUGAUUGUUCCUUUUUGAAACACAUGGCUGUUGUUUCUAGGAACUCAUCUGCAUGCUUAUGGAAACAUUUUUUC